GAUGAACGCUAGCGGCAGGCUUAACACAUGCAAGUCGAGGGGCAGCGCGAUGUAGCAAUACAUUGGCGGCGACCGGCGCACGGGUGCGUAACACGUAUGGAAUCUGCCCUGUACUGGAAGAUAACCCGGCGAAAGUCGGACUAAUAUCCCAUAAUAGCCGAGGUGGCAUCACCUUGGUUUGAAAGCUCCGGCGGUACAGGAUGACCAUGCGCACGAUUAGCUAGUUGGUGAGGUAACGGCUCACCAAGGCUACGAUCGUUAGGGGGCCUGAGAGGGUUAUCCCCCACACUGGUACUGAGACACGGACCAGACUCCUACGGGAGGCAGCAGUGAGGAAUAUUGCGCAAUGGAGGCAACUCUGACGCAGCCAUGCCGCGUGCAGGAAGAAGGCGCUACGCGUUGUAAACUGCUUUUAUCCGGGAAGAAACCCCAGGACGUGUCCUGGGUUGACGGUACCGGAGGAAUAAGCACCGGCUAACUUCGUGCCAG
Molecule: ribosomal RNA, 489 nt
Filed under: uncultured bacterium
Lineage: Bacteria
Description: bacterial SSU rRNA
Rfam family: Bacterial small subunit ribosomal RNA
Source: RNAcentral